AGCUGGGGAGAAUUGGAUGUAACUUUUUCUAUAGAUGUCCGUGGAUAUAUUAUUUACCUGAUUCUGAGUCCGUAUG
RNAcentral lists this ribosomal RNA (76 nucleotides) under Oryza glaberrima (African rice). RNAcentral's name for it is "rRNA EPlOGLG00000000523". Lineage: Eukaryota; Viridiplantae; Streptophyta; Magnoliopsida; Poales; Poaceae. The record is from RNAcentral.